This 1432-nucleotide long non-coding RNA is filed under the name Crocodylus porosus (Australian saltwater crocodile). Its description in RNAcentral is "lncRNA (ENSCPRG00005006715.1)". Lineage: Eukaryota; Metazoa; Chordata; Crocodylia; Crocodylidae. The record is from RNAcentral.
AUGGAAGCGCGGGGGUGGAGGAGGGGCGGAGACACGUCUGUGGAUACCACAAAACGGCAACGAGUCCCACACCCCCUCAUCAGCCCUCGCCGUCGCCCGGGCGUACCCGCCGUCUUUUUCAAACCCGCCCCGCCAUCAACGGCUAUCACACAGCCCCACCCCUUGGCCCCGGCAGCAUGCGCUCAUUGGCCCUCCAGAGCACGCGCCGCGUCCAGGCGCGCCACUGGGCGGCGGGCGGAGGACAGGCGGUGGCGGCGCGCGGGUGCUGAUUGGCCGAGCGGAAGGUAUGAUGGAAAAAGGCAUGCUGAAGAGAGAAGACUGUGGGUGAAAACCACACACCUAAUCAGAGACAGAUGCUGCACUCCCCCAGUCAGUAAAAGAGGGGUGUUGUGGGGGAUGGAAAUGAGAAAUGUUCUACAUAAUGAGGUGGGUGACCUUCAAAGGUAUAACCAUAACUUUGGCAGUAUCUGGGAAAGAUGUGAAAAACAUCCAUUCUCUAUUUUAUCUGUUGCCACCACCUUUCGUCCACAUCCCCACAGAGUUUUUAGAAAUGCUCCUGGCAUGAAAGUCCUCAACCAGAAUAACUUUGAAACUGCCCUUUAAAGAACAGGAGCCUAGAGUGUUAGCGCAGACAAAGCUGAUGAUUGCAACAAGAAGAAAAAUGAAGCUGUAGGCAAAGAAAGAGCUAGGCUAUAAUAGCUAUUGCUUUAUAAUAGCUACUGGAUUCAUCUCUUUAUUCCCAAAUUACACUUCUCCCAAACACCAGCUUUCUAUGAUACUGAUCUUUGCUGCUGUUAAAAGCCAGAGAAAGGGAAAUCCUAUCUCUAUUUUCUAAAGGAAAUAUUGAACUGAAAAAAAUGGCUAUAUUAAGUUAACAGCCCAUGGGCCCAAUCUUGCCAACCAUUAACAGUAAUUUUACUUCCGUGAACUGCCUCAUCAAAUUCAGUGGGACCAUGUAUGUGAGUAAUAUUAGUGAGUGCAAAAAACUUUUUGACUAGCAUAACUCAUUUUGGAACCUCCCUAACAUCCUAUAAAACCUUCAGCAUUUAAAAGGGUCCAGCAGAAUUAAUUUAAACACUUAAUUUAUAAGUGUUCCUAACUUGUAAAAUAAUAAUGGAUUUGUUACAAGCAUAAGAAACCUUCCUGUCUGAGGCAAUACAAUUGCACAGAAAAGCUAAUGAGCAAACUGCAAUUAUCAAAUACAGUGGAUAGCUUUUCCUUCUACAGUAUACUAAUUCCCAUAUUUUAUUUCUGUAUCUGUCCUCAGGGGAGCUAAUCUAUUCUUCUGGAAGAUGUUUACUUUAAAUUCUUUGGUUGCUUUUCCUUUGAAAGCCUUUGGAAGCUGCCAGCAUGCAGAGCUGAAGAGUCUAUGUACAAGAAUAUUUUAUUGAAUACCAAUAAAUAUGUGGGGUUUAAAUGGAGAACUUUCUUU